RNAcentral lists this ribosomal RNA (467 nucleotides) under uncultured bacterium. Its description in RNAcentral is "partial 16S ribosomal RNA". It matches the Rfam family "Bacterial small subunit ribosomal RNA", at positions 30 to 507 of the family's 1533-position model. The record is from RNAcentral.
GCGAACGCUGGCGGCGUGCUUAACACCUGCAAGUCGAACGGAAAGGCCCUGCUUUUGUGGGGUGCUCGAGUGGCGAACGGGUGAGUAACACGUGAGUAACCUGCCCUUGACUUUGGGAUAACUUCAGGAAACUGGGGCUAAUACCGGAUAGGAGCUCCUGCUGCAUGGUGGGGGUUGGAAAGUUUCGGCGGUUGGGGAUGGACUCGCGGCUUAUCAGCUUGUUGGUGGGGUAGUGGCCUACCAAGGCUUUGACGGGUAGCCGGCCUGAGAGGGCGACCGGCCACAUUGGGACUGAGAUACGGCCCAGACUCCUACGGGAGGCAGCAGUGGGGAAUAUUGCACAAUGGGCGGAAGCCUGAUGCAGCAACGCCGCGUGCGGGAUGACGGCCUUCGGGUUGUAAACCGCUUUCGCCUGUGACGAAGCGUGAGUGACGGUAAUGGGUAAAGAAGCACCGGCUAACUACGUG